This is a long non-coding RNA of Amphiprion ocellaris (clown anemonefish), 1344 nucleotides long. Lineage: Eukaryota; Metazoa; Chordata; Actinopteri; Pomacentridae. The record is from Ensembl.
UUUAGAGUUGGCUCAUAGCACAGGUUUUUCAGUGCAAAUGUGUGUGUGUGUGAGGUCACUAGCGCCCCCACUGCGGUACUGCACCCUCUGCUCCGCACACACACUCAUUCCAAAUAUGGUUGGGCACGCCCACUUCCUGGUCCUCACGAGGAAGGAUUCUCAACAACAACAGAUUUUCAGUGUUAAAUGUCGAUGAUGACACAAAUGAGAAGAUAAAAGAUUAAUUGCAGCUGCUAAAGGGCUACAAACUUCUACAGAGGAGCAAGAGUGAAACAGAAGGUAAGCACAUUUGUAUGACAAACCAUUAUAACUACUUUUCUACCCUCCAAUUAGGUUAAUUAACUCUGGUUGGUUCGCAAAAUAGUUAAAUAAUUAUAUUUUUGUUAGCUAUCCUGCUAAUUACCUAGUCUGUAUGGCUAACUACCCUCUGAGUGUGGGUCUAAUGUCUAAUUACAGCUUUCCAAUUGGCUAGUAUUAGUUACAGUUUCAUGUAAUUUAGUAUGAAGGAGUUAUUGCAAACUAAGAAGACACUGCUAAAUCUCUAGCCUAACUGAAUGCUCUUGGAAUAUAUAGGGGGAAAGUGAUUCUUCUAAAGUUUAACAUUUAGUGUGUAGUUGGUCACAUUAUUUUCUUUUCUAGGGGCACCAUCAUUUUUGUCCAGGCCUGUUUCAUGAGUUUAUUUUUUAAAAUAAUUCUGUUGAACCACAGUUCAAAAGCAAUGUCUGAUUUUCAUUAGUAAAUUUUCAUAGAAUUUUUAUUUAUUACUUUUGUCAGAUUCAAAUUAUUUCUGUGACCAUUGUGGGUUUUUCUUUCAUUAACCGAGAGGUACCAACAAUUUUAUCCACGUGUGUACUAAAGUAGCGAUAGUCAGAAUUUGUACAAAAAUAUAAAAUGAUCAUUUCUGUCUGUCACUUCCGUUGUGAGCCUUUUAUUUUGAAAGUAAACAGGAAGUUAAGUGUCAUGUACCACCGCUAGCUUUGUGACCUCAGCAGUUGCGAGAGUACAGGGAAUGGAAAUGACGAGGACAGAGCACAACUGGCAGUGAGCUGCUGAAGAGUGAUUCGUGAGUGUUCAAUCUUUCUGGUUGAGAUGCCACCACGGGUGAGCCCCCUUAAGGAUGCCAUUCAGCAUGUUGUUUCAAAGACUGAUAAAACAUACAAAUUAGAGGUGAAGUACAUCAAUGCAGUUAAAGGACGUGGUUUGUUUGCAGCGAGUUCGAUAUGUAAAGGAGAAUUUGUAGUUGAAUAUAGAGGAGAUUUGAUAAAUGAUGCAGAAUCCCAGAGAAGAAGAUCACUUUACCACCCAUCAUGUGUUGCUUUUAUGUUUGCAUUCAAGUGGAGAGGA